This 487-nucleotide ribosomal RNA is filed under the name uncultured bacterium. RNAcentral describes it as "bacterial SSU rRNA". It matches the Rfam family "Bacterial small subunit ribosomal RNA", at positions 28 to 526 of the family's 1533-position model. The record is from RNAcentral.
GAUGAACGCUGGCGGCGUGCUUAACACAUGCAAGUCGAACGGUGAACACGGAGCUUGCUCUGUGGGAUCAGUGGCGAACGGGUGAGUAACACGUGAGCAACCUGCCCCUGACUCUGGGAUAAGCGCUGGAAACGGCGUCUAAUACUGGAUAUGUGACGUGACCGCAUGGUCUGCGUCUGGAAAGAAUUUCGGUUGGGGAUGGGCUCGCGGCCUAUCAGCUUGUUGGUGAGGUAAUGGCUCACCAAGGCGUCGACGGGUAGCCGGCCUGAGAGGGUGACCGGCCACACUGGGACUGAGACACGGCCCAGACUCCUACGGGAGGCAGCAGUGGGGAAUAUUGCACAAUGGGCGCAAGCCUGAUGCAGCAACGCCGCGUGAGGGACGACGGCCUUCGGGUUGUAAACCUCUUUUAGCAGGGAAGAAGCGAAAGUGACGGUACCUGCAGAAAAAGCGCCGGCUAACUACGUGCCAGCAGCCGCCGUAACAC